GGGGAAUAGCUCAGUGGUAGAGCAGAAGUAGUAAGAAUAAGCUACUGGCAUACAAAAUUCUUAGAAGGUUUUCAGCAACUAUUAUCUAUUCACUGCUAAUGAAGAGUUGUCGGUUCGAAUCCGGCUUGGGUCUUCUGA
This 138-nucleotide transfer RNA is filed under the name Caudoviricetes sp. Its description in RNAcentral is "tRNA-Ser". Lineage: Duplodnaviria; Heunggongvirae; Uroviricota; Caudoviricetes. The record is from RNAcentral.